GAUGAACGCUGGCGGCGUGCCUAAUACAUGCAAGUCGAGCGAACAGACGAGGAGCUUGCUCCUCUGACGUUAGCGGCGGACGGGUGAGUAACACGUGGAUAACCUACCUAUAAGACUGGGAUAACUUCGGGAAACCGGAGCUAAUACCGGAUAAUAUAUUGAACCGCAUGGUUCAAUAGUGAAAGACGGUUUUGCGGUCACUUAUAGAUGGAUCCGCGCCGCAUUAGCUAGUUGGUAAGGUAACGGCUUACCAAGGCAACGAUGCGUAGCCGACCUGAGAGGGUGAUCGCCCACACUGGAACUGAGACACGGUCCAGACUCCUACGGUAGGCCGCAGUAGGGAAUCUUCCGCAAUGGGCGAAAGCCUGACGGAGCAACGCCGCGUGAGUGAUGAAGGUCUUCGGAUCGUAAAACUCUGUUAUUAGGGAAGAACAAAUGUGUAAGUAACUAUGCACGUCUUGACGGUACCUAGUCAGAAAGCCACGGCUAACUACGUG
RNAcentral lists this ribosomal RNA (497 nucleotides) under uncultured bacterium. Its description in RNAcentral is "partial 16S ribosomal RNA". It matches the Rfam family "Bacterial small subunit ribosomal RNA", at positions 28 to 507 of the family's 1533-position model. The record is from RNAcentral.